This is a non-coding RNA of Tachysurus vachellii, 486 nucleotides long. The record is from the annotation of a RefSeq genome assembly. Lineage: Eukaryota; Metazoa; Chordata; Actinopteri; Siluriformes; Bagridae.
AUGGGACUAGACAGAGUUUUGAGUUACUUUACUCUAGCAAUCUUCAUUCAAUAUUCCUGCAGUCAGACACUGAUCGAGUCUGAUCCAGUGAUCAUCAAACCUGAUCAGUCUCAUAAACUGACCUGCACAGCCUCUGGAUUAGACAUUAGUAGCUACUGGAUGGCUUGGAUCAGACAGGCGCCUGGAAAAGGGCUGGAAUUUGUUGCAAUUAUCGAGGAUGAUAGUGAUAGGAAGUUUUACUCCAGUGCUGUUCAGGGUCGCUUCACCAUCUCCAGAGACAACAGUAAGAAGCAGGUGUAUCUGCAGAUGAACAGCAUGAGGACAGAAGACACUGCAGUUUAUUACUGCCACCUGCCUCGUCCCCCGAUCGCCACCAGAGGGAAACUUCGCCUGAGUACUAACAGCUUCCGGACUACACCUCCCAGCACCCGCUCACCGAGACUGAUUACACCGCCACCUGGCUCCAAUUACUCACUUCCUAUUUAA